This 390-nucleotide ribosomal RNA is filed under the name uncultured bacterium. RNAcentral's name for it is "bacterial SSU rRNA". It matches the Rfam family "Bacterial small subunit ribosomal RNA", at positions 30 to 424 of the family's 1533-position model. The record is from RNAcentral.
AUUGAACGCUGGCGGCAUGCCUUACACAUGCAAGUCGAACGGCAGCGGACCUUCGGGUGCCGGCGAGUGGCGAACGGGUGAGUAAUAUAUCGGAACGUACCUUUCAGUGGGGGAUAACGUAGCGAAAGUUACGCUAAUACCGCAUAUUCUGUGAGCAGGAAAGCAGGGGAUCGCAAGACCUUGCGCUGAUUGAGCGGCCGAUAUCAGAUUAGCUAGUUGGUGAGGUAAAGGCUCACCAAGGCGACGAUCUGUAGCGGGUCUGAGAGGAUGAUCCGCCACACUGGAACUGAGACACGGUCCAGACUCCUACGGAAGGCAGCAGUGGGGAAUUUUGGACAAUGGGCGCAAGCCUGAUCCAGCCAUGCCGCGUGAGUGAAGAAGGCCUCGGUU